UUUAGGAGUUAUUGCCCUUUAUAGUCAAUUUUUAACCAUUUUUCGUAAAUCUUAGUAAUCUUUUACAAAAAUCUUCUCCUCUGAAACUACUAGGCCAAAUACUUCCAAACUUUAACUGAAUGUUCCUUAGGGUAUCUAGUUUGUAAAUUGUAUCCGAAGUUGUGAUCGAUCAACCAAACAUGGCCGCCAUUGCUAAAAAUAGAACAUAGGGGUCAAAUGCAGUUUUUGGCUUAUAACUCAAAAACCAAAGCAUUUAGAGCAAAUCUGACAUGGGAUAAAAAUGUUUAUCAGGUCAAGAUCUAUCUGCCCUGAAAUUUUCAGAUGAAUCAGACAAUCUGUUGUUGGGUUGCUGCCCCUGAAUUGGUAAUUUUGAGGAAAUUUUGCUGUUUUUGGUUAUUAUCUUGAAUAUUAUUAUAGAUAGAGAUAAACUGUAAACAGCAAUAAUGUUCAGCAAAGUAAGAUUUACAAAUAAGUCAACAUGACGGAAAUGGUCAGUUGACCCGUUUAGGAGUUAUUGCCCUUUAUAGUCAAUUUUUAACCAUUUUUCGUAAAUCUUAGUAAUCUUUUACAAAAAUCUUCUCCUCUGAAACUACUAGGCCAA
This 601-nucleotide long non-coding RNA is filed under the name Mytilus galloprovincialis (Mediterranean mussel). The record is from RNAcentral. Lineage: Eukaryota; Metazoa; Mollusca; Bivalvia; Mytilida; Mytilidae.